Molecule: transfer RNA, 85 nt
Filed under: Candidatus Yanofskyibacteriota bacterium
Lineage: Bacteria; Candidatus Yanofskyibacteriota
Description: Candidatus Yanofskybacteria bacterium tRNA-Ser
Rfam family: tRNA
About the family: Transfer RNA (tRNA) molecules are approximately 80 nucleotides in length. Their secondary structure includes four short double-helical elements and three loops (D, anti-codon, and T loops).
Source: RNAcentral
GGAAGGGUGCCGGAGCGGUCUAACGGAACGGCUUGGAAAGCCGUGACCUUAACGGGUCCCGUGGGUUCGAAUCCCACCCCUUCCG